Molecule: ribosomal RNA, 433 nt
Filed under: uncultured bacterium
Lineage: Bacteria
Description: partial 16S ribosomal RNA
Rfam family: Bacterial small subunit ribosomal RNA
Source: RNAcentral
AACGAACGCUGGCGGCAUGCCUAACACAUGCAAGUCGAACGAGACCUUCGGGUCUAGUGGCGCACGGGUGCGUAACGCGUGGGAACCUGCCCUUAGGUUCGGAAUAACUCCCCGAAAGGGGUGCUAAUACCGGAUAAUGUCUUAGGACCAAAGAUUUAUCGCCUUUGGAUGGGCCCGCGUUGGAUUAGCUAGUUGGUAGGGUAAAAGCCUACCAAGGCGACGAUCCAUAGCUGGUCUGAGAGGAUGAUCAGCCGCACUGGGACUGAGACACGGCCCAGACUCCUACGGGAGGCAGCAGUGGGGAAUAUUGGACGAUGGGCGAAAGCCUGAUCCAGCAAUGCCGCGUGAGUGAUGAAGGCCUUAGGGUUGUAAAGCUCUUUUACCCGGGAUGAUAAUGACAGUACCGGGAGAAUAAGCUCCGGCUAACUCCGUG